Molecule: ribosomal RNA, 300 nt
Filed under: uncultured bacterium
Lineage: Bacteria
Description: bacterial SSU rRNA
Rfam family: Bacterial small subunit ribosomal RNA (bases 52-300)
Source: RNAcentral
GCGAAAGAAGUGGGAGGAGGCAGGUUAAGGCGUAGGGUGUGGGGGGUAUGCGGAAUUACUGGGCGUAAAGCGGGCGCAGGCGGUUUUGUAAUACAGGCGUGAAAUCCCCGGGCUGAACCUGGGAACUGCGUUUGUGACUGCAAGACUAGAGUACGGCAGAGGGGGGUGGAAUUCCACGUGUAGCAGUGAAAUGCGUAGAGAUGUGGAGGAACACCAAUGGCGAAGGCAGCCCCCUGGGUCGAUACUGACGCUCAUGCACGAAAGCGUGGGUAGCAAACAGGAUUAGAUACCCUAGUAGUC